Molecule: long non-coding RNA, 260 nt
Organism: Papaver somniferum (opium poppy)
Lineage: Eukaryota; Viridiplantae; Streptophyta; Magnoliopsida; Ranunculales; Papaveraceae
Exons: 3
Source: RefSeq, a predicted model, not a curated record
UUUGCUUAAGUGUGAAUCUGGUGGUGUCUUUUAUUCAAUUCAAAGAAGAAGAAGUUUCUUUCCAUAAACAAGUUAUAAUCUUCUGGUUCUUGGAGUUUAUUUCGCAGGUAAAUGUUACUAGACAUCUAUAGAUCAUUCUCGUGGACUGUGGUUGAGUACGCUUGUUCUGAUUGCAACAUGCCUGCUAUGACAAAGAGUUUUGAGCACCACAAUUUUGGGCACAUAUUUGACAAGCUUACCGAAGAAAUUGGAAGUCCAGU